Molecule: ribosomal RNA, 496 nt
Filed under: uncultured bacterium
Lineage: Bacteria
Description: partial 16S ribosomal RNA
Rfam family: Bacterial small subunit ribosomal RNA
Source: RNAcentral
AUUGAACGCUGGCGGAAUGCUUUACACAUGCAAGUCGAACGGUAGAGGGGGCAACCCCUCGAGAGUGGCGAACGGGUGAGUAAUAUAUCGGAACGUGCCCAGUCGUGGGGGAUAACGUAACGAAAGUGACGCUAAUACUGCAUACGAUCUAAGGAAGAAAGCGGGGGAGCGCAAGACCUCGCGCGAUUGGAGCGGCAGAUAUCAGAUAAGGUAGGUGGGGGGGUAACGGCUCACCAAGCCAACGAUCUGUAGCGAGUCUGAGAGGACGACAAGCCACACUGGAACUGAGACACGGUCCAGACUCCUACGGGAGGCAGCAGUGGGGAAUUUUGGACAAUGGACGCAAGUCUGAUCCAGCCAUGCCGCGUGCAGGAUGAAGGCCCUCGGGUUGUAAACUGCUUUUGUACGGAACGAAAAGGUCUCUCUUAAUACGGGGGACUCAUGACGGUACCGUAAGAAUAAGCACCAGCUAACUACGUGCCAGCAGCCGCCGUAA